GGUUUUUAAUAAUAAGUAAAAAUUUGGCCUGCCCAGUGAGAGUUUAACGGCCGCAAUAUUUUGAUUGUGCUAAGGUAGCAUAAUCAAUUGUCUAUUAAUUGUAGACUGGAAUGAAAGGUUUGACUUAAAAUUGAUUGUCUAAAACUAAAUUUGAACUUUGUUAUUUUGUGAGGAAACAGAAAUGAAAAAGAUAGACGAGAAGACCCUAUUGAGCUUUAUAAAAUAAAUAAAGGAAUGAGUGAAGAAAAGUAUUAUAAAAUUUAUUUUGCUGGGGCGGUGGAAAUAAAAUAGAACAAUUUUAGGAGAUGUUAUUGAUAAAUGAGGAUUGAUCCAAAAAUAUUGAUUAAAGACUAAGUUACUGUAGGGAUAACAGCGUAAUUUUAUUUGGAAGUUCAUAUUUAUGAUAAAGUUUUCGACCUCGAUGUUGGUUUAAGAGACCUUUUUGGCGCAGGAGUUAGAGAGAGGAAGUCUGUUCGACUGUGAAAAUCUUAUAUGAUCUGAGUUAAAACCGGAGA
Molecule: ribosomal RNA, 515 nt
Filed under: Newportia sp. IZ-81282
Lineage: Eukaryota; Metazoa; Arthropoda; Chilopoda; Scolopendromorpha; Scolopocryptopidae
Description: partial small subunit ribosomal RNA
Rfam family: Bacterial large subunit ribosomal RNA
Source: RNAcentral